GAUGAACGCUAGCGAUAGGCCUAACACAUGCAAGUCGAGGGGCAUCACAUGAAGUAGCAAUACGGAUGGUGGCGACCGGCGCACGGGUGAGUAACACGUAUGCAACCUGCCUUCAACAAGGGGAUAACCCGUUGAAAGACGGACUAAUACCCUAUAACACAGGGGUCCCGCAUGGGAAUAUUUGUUAAAGGACAACCGGUUGAAGAUGGGCAUGCGUUCCAUUAGCUAGUUGGCGGGGUAACGGCCCACCAAGGCAACGAUGGAUAGGGGAACUGAGAGGUUUAUCCCCCACACUGGUACUGAGACACGGACCAGACUCCUACGGGAGGCAGCAGUGAGGAAUAUUGGUCAAUGGACGCAAGUCUGAACCAGCCACGUCGCGUGAAGGAAGACGGCCCUACGGGUUGUAAACUUCUUUUAUACGGGAAUAAAGUGCCCCACGCGUGGGGUUUUGCAUGUACCGUAUGAAUAAGGAUCGGCUAACUCCGUGCCAGCAGCCGCGGUAAGUACUGACUCA
RNAcentral lists this ribosomal RNA (517 nucleotides) under uncultured bacterium. Its description in RNAcentral is "bacterial SSU rRNA". It matches the Rfam family "Bacterial small subunit ribosomal RNA", at positions 28 to 536 of the family's 1533-position model. The record is from RNAcentral.